RNAcentral lists this ribosomal RNA (499 nucleotides) under uncultured bacterium. Its description in RNAcentral is "bacterial SSU rRNA". It matches the Rfam family "Bacterial small subunit ribosomal RNA", at positions 24 to 518 of the family's 1533-position model. The record is from RNAcentral.
UCAGGAUGAACGCUAGCGACAGGCCUAACACAUGCAAGUCAGGGGCAGCACAAGGAGCAAUCUGAGGUGGCGACCGGCGCACGGGUGAGUAACACGUAUGCAACCUGCCUGUAAGCGGGGAAUAACCCGUUGAAAGACGGACUAAUACCGCAUAAUACUAAAUUACUGCAUGGUAAUUUAUUUAAACAUUUAUGGCUUACAGAUGGGCAUGCGCAUGAUUAGCUAGUUGGAGAGGUAACGGCUCCCCAAGGCAACGAUCAUUAGGGGUUCUGAGAGGAAGGUCCCCCCACACUGGUACUGAGACACGGACCAGACUCCUACGGGAGGCAGCAGUGAGGAAUAUUGGUCAAUGGACGAGAGUCUGAACCAGCCAAGUCGCGUGCAGGAAGAAUGUCCUAUGGAUUGUAAACUGCUUUUGCAGGGGAAUAAAGUGCAUCACGUGUGAUGUUUUGUAUGUACUCUGCGAAUAAGGAUCGGCUAACUCCGUGCCAGCCGCGGC